UGAGGAAUAUUGGUCAAUGGGCGAGAGCCUGAACCAGCCACGUCGCGUGAAGGAAGACUGACCUUACGGUUUGUAAACUUCUUUUGUAGAGGGGUAAUGGCAGAUACGUGUAUUUGCGUGAAAGUACUCUACGAAUAAGCAUCGGCUAACUCCGUGCCAGCAGCCGCGGUAAUACGGGGGAUGCGAGCGUUAUCCGGAAUUAUUGGGUUUAAAGGGUGCGCAGGUGGCUAAUCAGGUCAGUGGUGAAAAGCUAUGGCUCAACCAUGGUCGUGCCAUUGAAAACGUAUAGCUAGAGAGGAGACGAGGUAGGCGGAAUGUGUGGUGUAGCGGUGAAAUGCAUAGAUAUCACACAGAACUCCGAUUGCGAAGGCAGCUUACCAGGCUUUAUCUGACACUUAGGCACGACAGCGUGGGGAUCAAACAGG
Molecule: ribosomal RNA, 425 nt
Filed under: Verrucomicrobiota bacterium
Lineage: Bacteria; Pseudomonadati; Verrucomicrobiota
Description: Verrucomicrobia bacterium partial 16S ribosomal RNA
Rfam family: Bacterial small subunit ribosomal RNA
Source: RNAcentral